This 629-nucleotide ribosomal RNA is filed under the name uncultured cyanobacterium. RNAcentral describes it as "bacterial SSU rRNA". It matches the Rfam family "Bacterial small subunit ribosomal RNA", at positions 96 to 756 of the family's 1533-position model. Lineage: Bacteria; Bacillati; Cyanobacteriota. The record is from RNAcentral.
UGGCGGACGGGUGAGUAACGCGUGAGAAUCUGCCAAAAGGACUGGGACAACCACUGGAAACGGUGGCUAAUACCGGAUGGGCCGCAACGUAAAAGAGGAAACUCGCCUUUUGAAGAGCUCGCGUCUGAUUAGCUAGUUGGUAGGGUAAAAGCCUACCAAGGCGACGAUCAGUAGCUGGUCUGAGAGGAUGAUCAGCCACACUGGGACUGAGACACGGCCCAGACUCCUACGGGAGGCAGCAGUGGGGAAUUUUCCGCAAUGGGCGAAAGCCUGACGGAGCAAGACCGCGUGAGGGAGGAAGGCUCUUGGGUCGUAAACCUCUUUUCUUAGGGAAGAACACAAUGACGGUACCUGAGGAAUCAGCCUCGGCUAACUCCGUGCCAGCAGCCGCGGUAAUACGGAGGAGGCAAGCGUUAUCCGGAAUUAUUGGGCGUAAAGCGUCCGUAGGUGGCACUUCAAGUCUGCGGUCAAAGACCGGGGCUUAACCCUGGAAAGGCCGUGGAAACUGAAGUGCUAGAGUGCAGUAGGGGUAGAGGGAAUUCCCGGUGUAGCGGUGAAAUGCGUAGAGCUCGGGAAGAACAUCGGUGGCGAAAGCGCUCUACUGGACUGCAACUGACACUGAGGGACGA